RNAcentral lists this unclassified non-coding RNA (279 nucleotides) under fungal sp. RNAcentral's name for it is "partial internal transcribed spacer region". The stretch from base 1 to 46 matches the Rfam family "Eukaryotic small subunit ribosomal RNA", at positions 1786 to 1831 of the family's 1831-position model. The record is from RNAcentral. Lineage: Eukaryota; Fungi.
AAGUCGUAACAAGGUUUCCGUAGGUGAACCUGCGGAAGGAUCAUUAAAAAAUCAAUAUAGAAGCCGCAAGGUUUCUAAUGAGCCGCAAGGCUCUAAUAUUUUGUGAACUGUGUUGUAUGUUUGUGUUGUAUGUCGAUGGAUGGUGAUAUCGCGGUAUCAUCGUCGAUGUGCAUAUGACAGCACAUACUACAAACUUGAUAAAUAUAUAUGACUUUGAUGUUGAGGAAAAGUAUUAUAUCAAUAUAUAUACAACUUUCAACAGUGGAUCUCUCGGCUCUU